UUCGGUGGUUUUGGCGAGGGGGAAACACCCGGUCCCAUUCCGAACCCGGAAGUUAAGCCCUUCAGCGCCGAUGGUACUGCAUGGGAGACUGUGUGGGAGAGUAGGACACCGCCGGAC
This 117-nucleotide ribosomal RNA is filed under the name Actinomadura sp. KC345. Lineage: Bacteria; Bacillati; Actinomycetota; Actinomycetes; Streptosporangiales; Thermomonosporaceae. The record is from RNAcentral.